GACACCGGCGAGGAGCUUGUGCUUGAGCUUGAGGAGGACGGAGCUGACAGCACGGAGGUGCCGGGCUACGAGGACUACUACGAGGAGGACCCUGCGAGCCAAGAACGGUUCGGCCCCGCUGAGAGGGAGGAGAUGGUGAUCCAGGCUCCCCAGGUAACGCUGGGGACAAGGACUGGGACCCCCCCCCAGCUAUGACCCAGCUCAUGGGGCCACUGUACAGAGUCCAGGGGCCACCUAGGCAAUUUGGAGCCCUUCCCCCCAACCCAGCUCUUGACUAUUUUCUUCUCAUCAUGGUGUUUUUCAGGAACCCAGCUUGAAGGGGGAGAAGGGCGAGCCAGCCAUCGUGGAGCCGGUGAGUGGGGCACGGCCCCCCCCUUGGGGACACGUGGCACCCCCAGGGCCACCCAUCUGAGACGGUUCACAGGACGGGGCUUGCUCUUUUUCUUCAGGGCCGGCGAUUUGAGGGGCCACCGGGACCCCCGGGCCCUGUGGUGAGGAACGAGGGGCUGCUGUGGGGAAGGGGUUGGAGUUGACAAAGCCUUAACGUGCCUCUCUCUUCUCCUCAGGGAGAAACAGGUCCCCUGGGACCACCGGGGCUCCCAGGGCUUCCCGGGGACCCUGGAGAUCAGGUACGGAGCAGAUUUGGGGGAGGGUUGUGAUGGGGCCAGAGCUGCCCCACGGCAGGGUUUGGGGCUGCAGGCGUCCCGGCGGGUCCUGCNGGGACCCUCAGGGACCCUCCUGCCUGCUCCCCACGGAGCUCUCUAGGUGACACCGAGCUGGCUGUCCCCAAGGCCGGGGGCCAGUGGCUCCCCCCAUCCCUCACCCUCCUCCUUCUCCCAGUUCCAGUUUGGUGGAGACUCCCUCAAAGGUCCCACUGUCUCUUUCCAAGAAGCCCAAGCCCAAGCCAUCCUGCAGCAGGCGAAGCUCGCCAUGAAGGGUCCCCCAGGUCCCAUGGGGCUCACCGGCCGCCCAGGACCAUUGGGUCUUCCUGGACACCCAGGCCUGAAAGGAGACGUGGGGGACACGGGGCCACGCGGUCCCCGGGGAAUGCAGGGACCUCCAGGGCCGCCGGGGAAGCUGGGCAGGCGGGUAAGCGCUGGGGGGGGGGUUGGGUUUUGCCUCCCCCAAAUGUCCUUGUCCUCUGUCACGUGCCAGGGUGACAUUCCAUCCUCAUCCCGAGGGGCUCCGAGCCUCGGGCCCCUUCCCCACCCCCUUGACUUGUCUUCCAGGGUCGUGCUGGAGCGGACGGUGCCAGGGGUCUCCCGGGGGAAACCGGACCCAAGGUGUCACCCGUGGGGGGGUUAUUGGUGCUGCUGGGGGGGCCGGCAUUGGGGUGAGGGGCCAGGACCCCCAGGUUGUGACACUUGUCCUACCCCACAGGGUGACAGGGGCUUCGACGGGCUGCCGGGGCUACCGGGCGAGAAGGGCCACAGGGUAAGCGUGACGGCGCCGUGUCCCCUCCUGCCACCGCUGUCCCCAUGCCACCUCACCCUCUCUCCUCUGCAGGGUGACGUGGGGAAGCCAGGACCAGCGGGUCCCCCCGGGGAGAAAGGGAUCAAGGUGAGGAGCGUGGGGAGGGAUGGGGAAGGAUCGGGCCCCGCUGGUGUUGGAGGGAGGUGCUCAGCUCCCCUCUCUCCUCUCCAGGGCUCCGACGGUCUCCCGGGACCUCGGGGACAACCCGGGGAACCCGUAAGUACCUGCUGCCGGCACCGGGAGCCUGGUCCGGCUUCUCCCCCAGCCCCAGGAGCCGGGGGGGGCGGGGGGGCAAGUUUGGCCACCGGUUUUCUCCCUGUGGCUUUUUGGAGGAGGGAUUUGGGCACCGGACUCCCCGCCCCCGGGGAAUAUGGGGUUCUGGGGUCAGUGCUGCCAUUUGAGCCCCCUCUUCUGUCCUUGGCCCUAGGGUACGCGAGGUCUCAUGGGCUCACGGGGCUCUCCUGGCCCCCCCGGACCACCGGUAUGAGACACCGCUCCUGUCUGUCUGUCUAUCUGUCUGUCUGACUGUCCCCAGCUUGGGACAAGAAGCUUUUUCUCUGUCACCCCUCAGCCCGGGCAGGGCAUCGUCCUUGGUGCGGUGGCACCUUGGGGUGUGACAUCGCCCUGACCCUCCCUCCUUCCCCCGCAGGGUGCCAGCGGCAUCGACGGAGCACCAGGGCCCAAGGGCAACGUGGUGGGUGUCAGUGGGAGCCCCCCCCUGGGGAGCACCCACCCCGAAUUAGCCACUUAGAGACCGGGAUGGUCCAGGGAGGGGGAGGCAGGACUGGGGCGAGAGCUGCCCCGUGCUCUUGGGGGGGUGCGUGGGGCAGGAGGGUGCACCACGGGGGGCAGCGAGGGUGGGGGUGGCACAUCCUGGGGUCUGAGAAGGUCUUUUUAUGCACUAAUGGAUUUUCCUUGCCUCCCCCCUUCCCGCCCCCCAGGGAAUCCCCGGGGAGCCAGGACCCCCGGGACAGCAAGGGAACCCUGGUCCGCAGGUACGUGGAGGUGACGGGGGUGUCCCCGUGGGGCUGGGGGCUGGGGUGCUCCCUCAGUCCCUCCUCAGCCCCCCAUGUCUUCUCUCGUAGGGUCUGCCCGGCCCCCAGGGCCCCGUCGGGCUGCCGGGGGAGAAGGUGAGUCAGGAUCUACCAGGAAUGGGGGAGUCCGGAGCUGCCCCAGCUCUGAGUGGGUGAUGGGGAGCCACAGGGGUGACCCCAGUCCCUCUGUGUCCCCACACGUCCUCCUCUCGCCCAGGGCCCACCGGGAAAACCGGGAAUACAGGGUGUUGCUGGGGCCGACGGGCCCCCGGUGAGUACCAGGGGGGGGGUCUGCGGGGUCACUCCUGUCCCCGGCAGAGUGGGGACUCCAGUGUCACCAUCCCAGCUCAGGGCUCACCUCUUGAUUGUCCCCACAGGGUCACCCUGGCCGAGAAGGGCCAGCUGGAGAGAAGGGCCUCCAGGUAAGGGGCUGACAACACCCCCCCACCCCUGCCCCAUGCCCUGGGUGGGGAAAAAGGGUCCUCUUUCCA
RNAcentral lists this long non-coding RNA (2998 nucleotides) under Calidris pygmaea (Spoon-billed sandpiper). Its description in RNAcentral is "lncRNA (ENSCPGG00000015882.1)". The record is from RNAcentral. Lineage: Eukaryota; Metazoa; Chordata; Aves; Charadriiformes; Scolopacidae.